RNAcentral lists this ribosomal RNA (429 nucleotides) under Pseudomonadota bacterium. RNAcentral describes it as "Proteobacteria bacterium partial 16S ribosomal RNA". It matches the Rfam family "Bacterial small subunit ribosomal RNA", at positions 355 to 776 of the family's 1533-position model. Lineage: Bacteria; Pseudomonadati; Pseudomonadota. The record is from RNAcentral.
UGGGGAAUAUUGGACAAUGGGCGAAAGCCUGAUCCAGCCAUGCCGCGUGUGUGAAGAAGGUCUUCGGAUUGUAAAGCACUUUAAGUUGGGAGGAAGGGCAGUAAGCGAAUACCUUGCUGUUUUGACGUUACCGACAGAAUAAGCACCGGCUAACUCUGUGCCAGCAGCCGCGGUAAUACAGAGGGUGCAAGCGUUAAUCGGAAUUACUGGGCGUAAAGCGCGCGUAGGUGGUUCGUUAAGUUGAAUGUGAAAGCCCCGGGCUCAACCUGGGAACUGCCUCCAAACCGGGCGAGCUAGAGUAGGGCAGAGGGUGGUGUAAUUUCCUGUGUAGCGGUGAAAUGCGUAGAUAUAAGAAGGAACACCAGUGGCGAAGGCGACCACCUGGGCUCAUACUGACACUGAGGUGCGAAAGCGUGGGGAGCAAACAGG